Gopherus flavomarginatus (Mexican gopher tortoise) is the source of this 827-nucleotide long non-coding RNA. RefSeq lists it as uncharacterized. The transcript has 2 exons. The record is from RefSeq and is a predicted model, not a curated record. Lineage: Eukaryota; Metazoa; Chordata; Testudines; Testudinidae.
CUAAAUCAUCCCAGCCAGGGCUUUGUCAAGCUGGGCCUUAAAAACCUCUAAGGAAGGAGAUUCCACCACCUCCCUAGGUAACCCAUUCCAGUGCUUCACCACCCUCCUAGUGAAAUAGUGUUUCCUAAUAUCCAACCUAGACCUCUCCCACUGCAACUUGAGACCAUUGCUUCUUGUUCUGUCAUCUGCCACCACUGAGAACUGGUUCCUAUCUAUCCAGAUGCCUGUAUGUCAUCAGUGUCUGAGCACCUCACAGCCCCACAUGGAUUCAUUCGAUCAACGCUGAUAGAUAGGGCUGCAUUAUUCAUGUGGAAAACUAAGGCGCAGGGAGCAGAAGUGAAUGGAUGAUGAUUGUAUAGGGAUUCCGUGGCAGAUCUGGGAAUUAAACUCCGCUUCUGUGUGCCGAAGUCCAGUGCCUUAGCUACCAGGCCACUCCCCAGAACGUUGCGUGGGUGACACACCCAGAACUUCAGAGCUAUGUGUGCAAGUGUCACUCCCCAAAGAAGAGGAGGUCCCUUGUUUGCAGGGUUAUCGAUACAACUCUGGAUGAGGGAGAAACUAGAGCUGAGCCAAUAAUUGAUGUGUCGGUUUGGAGCCCAGCCCGAGAAAAUCCCCGAAGAAAUGUGGUUUGUGUCAAACCAAAACCUUUGUUUUUCACCAAAAUAAAAAGAAACAAACAGAACAACAUUUCAUUCAAUCUGAAAUGAGAUGGGCUUGGGGUUAGUUUUUGGGUGGUUUUCCCCCCUUUUUCUGUUGUUUAAAUAUAGCAGCUAAAUUUUCAAAUGAAACAUUUUGAAAUAAAAAAUCAAAACCUUUUGAUUUUGAAA